AAAUUUUAAAAAAGAAAAUAAAGGAAACGAAGGAAGGAAGGAAGGAAGGAAGGAAGGAAAUUUUAAAAAAGAAAAUAAAGGAACCUCAUUCACAUACACCUCCAAAAUUCUGAUUUCCUAAAGUUGGGCAUUUCUCAUUGCUGGAAGUGUUCAAUUAGAGGGAUGCCACCCCCUUGAAGAAAUGUUUAUUUCAUUUGUACAGUGGGUUGGGAUUUUACCUGAAUGCUUUGAGUACCCUUUUAAUCCUUUGAUGCUAGAGACUGAUAGACCCAUGCCUAUUAUUGCUGUCAGUUCUCCCUGAAAUGUCAUCAGUUCUUCAUGUUCUGCUAUUUCUAGCUGUUGGCCCUACUCCUUUCUGUGCCUAAAUGCCCUACCUCCCACUCCUUUUCUGAGAAAGAUCUGCCCUGUCAGUUGUGAAGCAAAGACGUCCUAAGAUUCCUGCUGUUUAUUUUAUUUUAUUUUAUUUUAUUUCUUUUCUUUUGAUGGAGUUUUGCUCUUGUUGCCCAGGCUGGAGUGCAAUGGUGUGAUCUCAGCUCACUGCAACCUCUGCCUCCCAUGCCCACCUCAGUCUCCCAAAGUGCUGACAUUACAGGCGUGAGCUACCGUGCCUGGCCUCCUGCUCUUCUUUCUACCGUCUGCUCAGCAUCUUAGGCCUCAUUGCUAGGUGGCAUCUUUCCUGAAUAUUUCUCCACUAAACAUUCUGUUGUUGGCUAGAUGGCCUAGUUAAUCUACACAUUUCAUUUUAUCACCUUCUCCAGAUUUUUUUUGUGUAUGUCAGCCGAUAUAUUCUGGGGAGAAUGCCUUAAUAUAUGAGAAUAAUUAACUUGUGGCCAACAAGGAAAUAACCAAGGGGACUGUUACUCUGAACCUAAUUCAAACCAAAGAGAGAGAGCCUGAGAGAAAGCAGCUCUGUCAUCCUUGAGUUAGUAACAUCCAGGAAGGGAAGGCUAAGGUGGGGGAGUGAGUAAAACAGAUGGCAUUUAGGGAAGAACCAACAGGACUUUAAGAGGCAUGGCAGAGGGGCUUUGAUCCUGGCCAAACCAUCAGGGAAGGCAACUGGAGCUGGCUGAACAGAUGGGGCCUUAUUACUGAAGAGAAAACAGUAAGGAGGCAGGGGGAAAUGGGACGUGUGCUAAAGCAGAGUGCCUCGCUCAGUGGAUGCAGUGAGAGCAGAGGCUGUUGGAAAAGUGGAUCAAGGGAGGACCAUGCCACCAGGUGGGCAUCAGCAGAGUAUCACCCGAGUAUUGCAGAGGGAUACCAAAGAAGCCCACCUGGAGCCAGAGCUGAAAUCCUUUGGAGGUCAGUUUACCCCUUCAGAAGUAGUGCACCACCAUCCAUCUACCACUGGAAUCCAAUUUCAGUUUUGGCAAAUUGUUAUAAAUAGGAAAAAGUCAGGGUUCCACAAUUCUGUCAGCACUCAGAGACUAUAACAGCAUCUGUCCAGCCAAGUAGAGUUAGGAAACCUGGAUCCUAAUCCUGACUUUGCCUCUGAUUAGAUGUGUGACCCUGGGCUGGAGCUGUUUCUUCAGUUGUAAAAUGCUAUUUAUUAGUGUUAGGUAGCAGCUAAUAAGGAUGGAGGUGGGACUGGGUGCAGUGGCUCACACCUGUAAUCUCAGCAGUUUGACAGGCCAAGGCAGGAGGAUUGCUUGAGGCCAGGGAUUUGAGACCAGCUUGGGCUGGUCUUUUUUAAAAAAAAAAGAAAUUUUUUUUUAAGCGUGGAGGUAGGGAAAUUCAAAGCUACUUACUAGCUGUGUGACCUUGCCUAAACUACCUUCUUGGAUUUGCAGUCUGUUUAUUUGAAAAUGUCAUAAGGGAUAAAUGAGAUUCCUUAUGUAAAGUACUUUAUAAAUAUUAAGCACUUACCAAAUGUUAGUCUGUUUUCACAUUAUUCUUGGAUUACCAGAAAUUGGUUUGACUAUGAAUAAACAGGGGAUAAUUUCUUGGGUAAUCUGAGUUUGAAUCCCCCUUCUCUCUCUUACUAAUUAUAUGACUUUGAUUAGGUUAUUUAAUAUUUAAUUGUUCUGGGUCUCAGUUUUCUCAUUUGUGAAAUUAAAAUGAUGUGUUCUUCAGAGUUGUGAGGGUUAAAUGAGAUGAAAGGCCUGACUCAUAUGAUAAAAUGCUCAAUAUAUUUGUUUUGUCAUUUUUAAGGGGUGGUUUUAGGGCACAGAACCUAAAGGAAUGAAUGGAAUUCUAAGUGCUUUGAAGCUAGAGUUGUGAAAGAUUCCAGGGGAACACUGUGCUGGCCUUCUCCCUUCUUCUUGGGGAAGAAAAGAUCUCAGUGAAGUUCCAUGGGUCUUCUCAGUAAGCAGAGGAGAUUAACUAGAAUGCUGAAGCUCAGACACUGAGAGGUUAGAGUGAUUGACCAGGGCUGGAUCCUGAAGAGCUUGGUAUUCUAGGCUGAGAAUAUAAUUUUAUUCUAAAGCUAAUGAAGGUUUUUAAGGAGAUGUGCAUUUUGAAAAAGUCGAGGGGCUGUUUGGAGAACGGCCAGGAGAUGAGGCUGGGAUGUGGAUCGGGAAGGUGCUGCGGUGAUCCAGCAUGGAGCUAAGGGACUUUCUGAAGACCCCAGGGCUGAGAUGCCCUGGGGAUGAUCCUGUCCAGCCAGGGCUACAAGGCGAGCUCCCACGGUCACUGUGGCUCUUCACCCUGCCAGCCUCUUCCACCUCUCUGGCUUGCGUGGCCCCGACCCUUCAAGGAUCAGCAGCAUUUCUGAGAUGCCGAGGGACAGGAAAGCCCAGUGCUGGGAGUCUUCCUGGAGUGAGUCACCAUGAAUUCUACAAACAAGGUAGAAAUGGCAGUGGUGUUAUUGCCCCACAGUUGGGUAGACUCCCCCAAGAUCCAGAUGUGAUCAGCCCUUGUCCUAAUGAUAGACCGGCCCCUCUCCUACCACCCACGGAAGCUGCCUCAUCAUUGCCAUUAUCCACUUUCUCAACAGGAGAGACUUGAUACAGAAGGCAGAGUCCCUGCCCUCAAAGAACAUGGGACAAGUUGGGGAGGUGUAACUGAGUUGGUAAAGAACCCCUGGGUGGUAGAGGAGAGUGAAUUCAUAGAUUCUGUAGAUAAACCCUAAGGAGUGACUGGUUGUCCCCCUGGGGCCAAGAGCUGCUACCUCCCUCCCCUCCUCCGUCUUUUGCACAGCUUUAUUGAGCAUAAUUGAUAUACAGUAAACUGCACACUUUGAUGGAUUUUUGACAUACGUCUGCCCUGUGAAACCAGCACCACAGUGGACAAUGACUAUCUCCAUCACUCAUUUCCUUGUACCCAUGGAAAUCCUUGCUUGCUGCCCUCCUGCCCCCAGUCAACCACUGAUCUGCUGUCAGUCACUACGGAUUAGUUCACAUUUUCUAGAAUUGUAUGUAUGUAGAAUCAUGCAGUAUGUGCACUUUUUUGGGUCUGUCUUCUUUCACUCAAUGUCAUUGUUUUAAGGCUCAUCCAUAUCAUUGUAUAAACAGUUUGUUCCUUUCUAUUGCUGAGUAGUAUUCCAUUAUAUGAAUAUACCACAAUUUGUUUAUCCAUUCAUUAGUCAGUGGACUUUUUGAGUUCUUUCUAGUUUGGGGGCUAUUACGAAUAAAGUUGCUAUGACUGUUCACUCACAAGUAUUUAUGUGAAUAUAUGCUUUUAUUUCUCUUGGCAGAGUACCUAGAAAUCGAAUAACUGGCGUAUGUUCAACUUUUUUUUUUUUUUUGAAACCAAGUCUUGCUCU
Chlorocebus sabaeus (green monkey) is the source of this 3700-nucleotide non-coding RNA. The record is from RefSeq and is a predicted model, not a curated record. NCBI's taxonomy places the organism in Eukaryota, Metazoa, Chordata, Mammalia, Primates, Cercopithecidae.